GAAGAAGAAGAAGGAGAAGGAGAAUGAUGUCUUGCGUUGGAUUGCACUUUCAAAUGAUGCAGAGAAUGAGCAAGAAAGCAGAUGGUACUAUUUUGUUAUAGAAUUAUGUUUGACCACUUUUAAAACAACAGAAUAUGUGAGGAAUGAAAUGCUUCUGGAAUUAGAUCAUUAAUAUAAGAUAGUUUUAGGCCUUAAAAAGGAAAGAACACGUAGAGGAACUGGCUUUGGUAAUUUGGCUAAUAUGUGGCUUCAAGUUUUGGUAGUAUAUCCAUAUUGGCAAUUGGUAUCUCCACAUAAUGCAUAAAAAUUUGUCAAUUAUUUAAGCUUUGCCCACUAUAAGAACACUAGUAAAUUAUGUGACAAACAAAAAAACUCAAGAAAGAGAAAGAUGAUAGGUCAAAUAAGUUAUAUUUUGGUCUAGAUUCACUAUGGGCUUAUUUGCCAUCUAAUGAAGUCUUUGAUAGUCAUGCUUGCGUUUUAAAUUAUGCUUAUUCAAGUCAAUAUUUUUCUGGUUUAUUAUUUAUAUGUUUUUCUUUGACUUUGUAGAUCAAGGGUAUUUAUGCACUUUUUCUUAUUUGCUUACUAGGCAAAAAUAAGAGUUCAAAUUUCUUCUUUUAGGUUUAAGUGUUUCUUUAAUGCUUGUCCUUCAUUUAUUUUUUCGCAGUCAAAGCAAUAAGUUUUAUGCUUAAUAGUCCAUUUAUUUUUAGUGACAAUUAUGCUAAGGAGGAAAAAUUUGAGAAGAUUUUUACUUUGUUUGGAAAAGGGGUAAAUGGGGGAAGAAGAUUCUCCUAUGAGGUGCACUAGAAUUUUCCUCCCAAACACGGGAGGAAAGUGAAGUGAAAAUGGGUGAUAUUACUCAAUUGCUCCUAAUAAAAUAUUUUACUUAACAAAAAUGGAGGACAUAAUUGUCAUUGUACAAUUAAUGAAACAUAGUUGUUUUACUUUUGAUGCUUCGCAUUUUUCGCAGAAAUCCAAACAAAAAGAUUGAAAAUAAAUUUCACUUAAUUUUCUUUUCUUUGUGUUCUUUCCUCCACUUUCACUCCUCCCAUCUUUUACUUCCAAACAUAGUGUAAAUGAAGAACAUAUGUAUGUGGGAUUUGCUCAUAGUUGUUGAAUGCAGAAGGUGCUUUGGAGGUCUGGCACAAGGGGAACAAGAAAAGGAUUUGCAAGCAAAACUCAAACUUAAUCCAAAUAUAUAAUAAAUUCAAGACAUUAGUACUAUAUAACCAAAUUGAGCAAAGGUAGUUGUAUUCAGAGCAUGAAUCUAGAGUUAACUAUCUAAUCAGAGGAAAAAGAACAUAAAAUGAAUGUAGACUUAAUAAAUAAAAUAAUAAUUCUUUGUCACUUGUUUUAUUGAUAAACAAAAACUAGAAAUGAAUAUCCUGGUCUGUAACAGGAUUUUCCAAGAAUAUAACAAUGGAACAAGGAUAUUUCUUAAAAUUAAUCUCCAACUUUACUUACCACAAAAUAUUCCAAGUUGAAGCAUUAUUAAGGACAUUUUUGGGAAGAAAAGCACUGACAAAUAAUAUUCAACAUACUGUGAAUUUGGUUGAUGAGCAUGGAGGCACCGCAAAAGUUAGUAGUUAGCGAGGAAAGCUAAUAAACCUGAGCAACAAGAACCAAGUCCAAGGACAAGAAAUUUGAGAAAGUGGUGUAAUUGUUUGUGGUAGAAGUCAAUGAAUGGGUUACUGAUGCAGGAUUUACUACAGAUCUAGGACAACUAGACUGUCUACUUCAGAAGGAAAUAUGAGCAGCAGUGUUUUAUCCUCAUCAGGAAUUUUGCGUGAUUUGGGAUUCCUAAUUACUUUUGGAUUAAUAUUUUCUUUGUUUAGGGUGCCAAAUCCUUGUACUAGUAGGAUUACAAAUGUUAUAUCUAUAUAUAUAUGAGAAGCAUAGUUAUGAAUAAACUUACACUUGUAGCACUUUGAAGAAUCAUUCUAGUAUACGAAUAUUAAUGGGCAUAAUAAAUAAUUAAAGAACCUAAAUUGAAGUUAUAUUUUAAUUUAGUUUCUUUCUCAAUUAAUUUAUUUGGUUAUAUUUUUUAUUUCUAAAAUUAUUAUCAAAAUGAAUUUUAGGUUACGUUUGGUAGAGCGUAACGUAAUGUAAUCUUAUCAAUUAAAG
Molecule: unclassified non-coding RNA, 2121 nt
Filed under: Hevea brasiliensis (rubber tree)
Lineage: Eukaryota; Viridiplantae; Streptophyta; Magnoliopsida; Malpighiales; Euphorbiaceae
Source: RNAcentral